This 385-nucleotide long non-coding RNA is filed under the name Chlamydomonas reinhardtii. Its description in RNAcentral is "long non-coding RNA (CREI_LNC000298)". Lineage: Eukaryota; Viridiplantae; Chlorophyta; Chlorophyceae; Chlamydomonadales; Chlamydomonadaceae. The record is from RNAcentral.
AAGCAGCUGCAGGUUGAGGCAAGGCGUGCUGGAGGCAGGGUUGCUUGGCGCGUGUCCGCCUCUACUGCGAUGGAGCUUAGGCACAAAGAGCAAACCCUUGCGGGGCAUAUUUAGUGAGCGGACCUCGGAGGACGUGUUUUAGGUGUUUGGUAUUCGUGUGGCCUUUUCCUUUGUGUCCCGGCAGCUUCACGAACCUCCUGAGGUGUCAUAUAGAGUGCUGGGCCGUGGCAAGUACAGAACACAAAGAUGUCAUUGCAUAAGGCGUGUAUCAAAAGGGUUCCGCAUCAGGACAGACGGGGAGAACGGAGGGACUAUCAGCAGGCCCCAGUCCUGCAUAUGAUCUUUUGCUAGCCCUAAAACAGUUUUGUUUCCGAGUUCGAAGGUG